AAAAAGUCAAACCCCAGAUUUUCGUGUCCAACUUUGACUGUCUGUCUUAUAUGAAAUUUUUUUAUAAUUCGUAUUUUCAUUGUUGUUAGAUGAUAAAACAUGAUUAAUAUUUUAUGCGUGACUUGUCUUUUUAAUUUUUUUUAUAAUUUUUUCAAAUAAGACGGACGGUCAAACGUUGGACACGAAAACCAGGGUUUGUCUUUUU
This is a non-coding RNA of Oryza nivara, 205 nucleotides long. The record is from Rfam. Lineage: Eukaryota; Viridiplantae; Streptophyta; Magnoliopsida; Poales; Poaceae.